Molecule: ribosomal RNA, 504 nt
Filed under: uncultured bacterium
Lineage: Bacteria
Description: bacterial SSU rRNA
Rfam family: Bacterial small subunit ribosomal RNA
Source: RNAcentral
CUGGCUCAGGAUGAACGCUGGCGGCGUGCCUAACACAUGCAAGUCGAACGAAGCAUAGGAAAUGGAGAUUCGUCGAAAGGAACUAUGACUUAGUGGCGGACGGGUGAGUAAUGUAUGAGCAACCUGCCUUUCAGAGGGGGACAACAGUUGGAAACGACUGCUAAUACCGCAUAACGUAUUUUGGGGGCAUCCCCGGGAUACCAAAGGAGAAAUCCGCUGAAAGAUGGGCUCAUAUCUGAUUAGUUAGUUGGUGGGGUAACGGCCUACCAAGACUGCGAUCAGUAGCCGGACUGAGAGGUUGAACGGCCACAUUGGGACUGAGAUACGGCCCAGACUCCUACGGGAGGCAGCAGUGGGGAAUAUUGGGCAAUGGGCGAAAGCCUGACCCAGCAAACCGCCGCGUGAAGGAUGAAGGUCUUCGGAUUGUAAACUUCUUUUAUGAGGGAUGAAGGACGUGACGGUACCUCAUGAAUAAGCCACGGCUAACUACGUGCCAGCAGCAGC